Molecule: ribosomal RNA, 498 nt
Filed under: uncultured bacterium
Lineage: Bacteria
Description: partial 16S ribosomal RNA
Source: RNAcentral
GUAGUUAGCCGGGGCUUCCUCCUGUGGUACCGUCACUUUCUUCACCCCACAGGACAGAGCUUUACAAUCCGAAGACCUUCUUCCCUCACGCGGCGUUGCUGGGUAAGGGUUUCCCCCAUUGCCCAAUAUUCCCCACUGCUGCCUCCCGUAGGAGUCUGGGCCGUGUCUCAGUCCCAGUGUGGCCGUUCAGCCUCUCAGCUCGGCUACCCAUCGCUGACUUGGUGGGCCGUUACCUCACCAACUAUCUAAUGGGACGCGAACACCUCCUUAACCGGCAGUUCCCUGCCUUUUACCACUCCACCAUGCGAUGCUGUGGUCUUACGCGGUAUUAGCACCGGUUUCCCGGUGUUAUCCCCCUGUUAAGGUCAGCUCAUUCACGCGUUACUCACCCGUCCGCCACUAGAACAAGCUCUGUAUUGCUACUUCGCUUGUCCCCGUUCGACUUGCAUGUGUUAGGCACGCCGCCAGCGUUCGUCCUGAGCCAGAAUCAAACUCUGA